This 1528-nucleotide ribosomal RNA is filed under the name Staphylococcus aureus. Its description in RNAcentral is "partial 23S ribosomal RNA". It matches the Rfam family "Bacterial large subunit ribosomal RNA", at positions 1316 to 2841 of the family's 2925-position model. Lineage: Bacteria; Bacillati; Bacillota; Bacilli; Caryophanales; Staphylococcaceae. The record is from RNAcentral.
GACGGGUGAGAAUCCCGUCCACCGAUUGACUAAGGUUUCCAGAGGAAGGCUCGUCCGCUCUGGGUUAGUCGGGUCCUAAGCUGAGGCCGACAGGCGUAGGCGAUGGAUAACAGGUUGAUAUUCCUGUACCACCUAUAAUCGUUUUAAUCGAUGGGGGGACGCAGUAGGAUAGGCGAAGCGUGCGAUUGGAUUGCACGUCUAAGCAGUAAGGCUGAGUAUUAGGCAAAUCCGGUACUCGUUAAGGCUGAGCUGUGAUGGGGAGAAGACAUUGUGUCUUCGAGUCGUUGAUUUCACACUGCCGAGAAAAGCCUCUAGAUAGAAAAUAGGUGCCCGUACCGCAAACCGACACAGGUAGUCAAGAUGAGAAUUCUAAGGUGAGCGAGCGAACUCUCGUUAAGGAACUCGGCAAAAUGACCCCGUAACUUCGGGAGAAGGGGUGCUCUUUAGGGUUAACGCCCAGAAGAGCCGCAGUGAAUAGGCCCAAGCGACUGUUUAUCAAAAACACAGGUCUCUGCUAAACCGUAAGGUGAUGUAUAGGGGCUGACGCCUGCCCGGUGCUGGAAGGUUAAGAGGAGUGGUUAGCUUCUGCGAAGCUACGAAUCGAAGCCCCAGUAAACGGCGGCCGUAACUAUAACGGUCCUAAGGUAGCGAAAUUCCUUGUCGGGUAAGUUCCGACCCGCACGAAAGGCGUAACGAUUUGGGCACUGUCUCAACGAGAGACUCGGUGAAAUCAUAGUACCUGUGAAGAUGCAGGUUACCCGCGACAGGACGGAAAGACCCCGUGGAGCUUUACUGUAGCCUGAUAUUGAAAUUCGGCACAGCUUGUACAGGAUAGGUAGGAGCCUUUGAAACGUGAGCGCUAGCUUACGUGGAGGCGCUGGUGGGAUACUACCCUAGCUGUGUUGGCUUUCUAACCCGCACCACUUAUCGUGGUGGGAGACAGUGUCAGGCGGGCAGUUUGACUGGGGCGGUCGCCUCCUAAAAGGUAACGGAGGCGCUCAAAGGUUCCCUCAGAAUGGUUGGAAAUCAUUCAUAGAGUGUAAAGGCAUAAGGGAGCUUGACUGCGAGACCUACAAGUCGAGCAGGGUCGAAAGACGGACUUAGUGAUCCGGUGGUUCCGCAUGGAAGGGCCAUCGCUCAACGGAUAAAAGCUACCCCGGGGAUAACAGGCUUAUCUCCCCCAAGAGUUCACAUCGACGGGGAGGUUUGGCACCUCGAUGUCGGCUCAUCGCAUCCUGGGGCUGUAGUCGGUCCCAAGGGUUGGGCUGUUCGCCCAUUAAAGCGGUACGCGAGCUGGGUUCAGAACGUCGUGAGACAGUUCGGUCCCUAUCCGUCGUGGGCGUAGGAAAUUUGAGAGGAGCUGUCCUUAGUACGAGAGGACCGGGAUGGACAUACCUCUGGUGUACCAGUUGUCGUGCCAACGGCAUAGCUGGGUAGCUAUGUGUGGACGGGAUAAGUGCUGAAAGCAUCUAAGCAUGAAGCCCCCCUCAAGAUGAGAUUUCCCAACUUCGGUUAUAAGAUCCCUCAA